Molecule: ribosomal RNA, 497 nt
Filed under: uncultured bacterium
Lineage: Bacteria
Description: partial 16S ribosomal RNA
Rfam family: Bacterial small subunit ribosomal RNA
Source: RNAcentral
GAUGAACGCUGGCGGCGUGCCUAAUACAUGCAAGUCGAGCGAACAGACGAGGAGCUUGCUCCUCUGACGUUAGCGGCGGACGGGUGAGUAACACGUGGAUAACCUACCUAUAAGACUGGGAUAACUUCGGGAAACCGGAGCUAAUACCGGAUAAUAUAUUGAACCGCAUGGUUCAAUAGUGAAAGACGGUUUUGCUGUCACUUAUAGAUGGAUCCGCGCCGCAUUAGCUAGUUGGUAAGGUAACGGCUUACUAAGGCAACGAUGCGUAGCCGACCUGAGAGGGUGAUCGGCCACACUGGAACUGAGACGCGGUCCAGACUCCUACGGGAGGCAGCAGUAGGGAAUCUUCCGCAAUGGGCGAAAGCUUGACGGAGCAACGCCGCGUGAGUGAUGAAGGUCUUCGGAUCGUAAAACUCUGUUAUUAGGGAAGAACAAAUGUGUAAGUAACUAUGCACGUCUUGACGGUACCUAAUCAGAAAGCCACGGCUAACUACGUG